RNAcentral lists this ribosomal RNA (495 nucleotides) under uncultured bacterium. RNAcentral's name for it is "partial 16S ribosomal RNA". It matches the Rfam family "Bacterial small subunit ribosomal RNA", at positions 28 to 506 of the family's 1533-position model. The record is from RNAcentral.
GAUGAACGCUGGCGGCGUGCCUAAUACAUGCAAGUCGAGCGAACAGACGAGGAGCUUGCUCCUCUGACGUUAGCGGCGGACGGGUGAGUAACACGUGGAUAACCUACCUAUAAGACUGGGAUAACUUCGGGAAACCGGAGCUAAUACCGGAUAAUAUAUUGAACUGCAUGGUUCAAUAGUGAAAGACGGUUUUGCUGUCACUUAUAGAUGGAUCCGCGCCGCAUUAGCUAGUUGGUAAGGUAACGGCUUACCAAGGCAACGAUGCGUAGCAGACCUGAGAGGGUGACCGGCCACACUGGAACUGAGACACGGUCCAGACUCCGACGGGAGGCAGCAGUAGGGAAUAUGCCGCAAUGGGCGAAAGCCUGACGGAGCAACGCCGCGUGAGUGAUGAAGGUCUUCGGAUCGUAAAACUCUGUUAUUAGGGAAGAACAAAUGUGUAAGUAACUAUGCACGUCGUGACGGUACCUAAUCAGAAAGCCACGGCUACUACGU